AGCCCAACAGCUAGCCUACUUAAAUAAAAACAACAACCACACAUAGAUAACCCCAUAAGCACUACAAAACCAAAACAAACCAUUUUUCCACUAUAGUAUAGGAGAUAGAAAAAGAACACAGAGCAAUAGAAAAAGUACCGCAAGGGAAAGCUGAAAGAGAAAUGAAAAAACCCAGUUAAGCUAAAAAAAGCAGAGAUUUCCCCUCGUACCUUUUGCAUCAUGAUUUAGCUAGUACCUCCAAGCAAAAAGAAUUUUAGUUUGAACCCCCGAAACUAAGUGAGCUACUCCAGGACAGCCUACCAACAGGGCACACCCAUCUCUGUGGCAAAAGAGUGGGAAGAUCCUCGAGUAGAGGUGAUAAACCUACCGAACUUAGUUAUAGCUGGUUGCCUGAGAAAUGGAUAGAAGUUCAGCCCCCUAGGCCCUUUUUUCAAGCUCGUACUCACCCCUUCCGCCAAAGAGCCCUAGAGGAGUUAGUUGCAGGAGGUACAGCCCCUGCAACACGAGAUACAACCCUGCCAGGAGGAUUAAGAUCAAAAUAUAAACAAGGCAGUAUGUUUAGGUGGGCCUAAAAGCAGCCAUCCUGACCGAAAGCGUUAAAGCUCAAACAUCCAACCCCCACUAAUCCCGAUAAUAAAAUCUAAAUCCCCUAAAACAUAUCAGGCCUUCCUAUGCAGACAUAGGACCGACUAUGCUAAUAUGAGUAAUAAGAAAGUACCGACUUUCUCCAAGCAUAAGUGUACAUCGGAACGAACCCACACCGAACAUUAACGGCCCCAACCAAAGAGGGGAAUGAUGAUAAAACAGAAAACAAGAAAAAUGCUCAAAUGACAACCGUUGACCCCACACUGGAAUGCCACUAAGGAAAAACUAAAAGGAAAAGAAGGAACUCGGCAAACACAAGCCUCGCCUGUUUACCAAAAACAUCGCCUCUUGCAAGACAAUGAAUAAGAGGUCCCGCCUGCCCUGUGACUUUUACGUUUAACGGCCGCGGUAUUUUGACCGUGCGAAGGUAGCGCAAUCACUUGUCUCUUAAAUGGGGACCUGUAUGAAUGGCAUUACGAGGGUUUAACUGUCUCCUUUCCCAAGUUAAUGAAAUUGAUCCUCCCGUGCAGAAGCGGGAAUAUGAACAUAAGACGAGAAGACCCUAUGGAGCUUUAGGUAAUAAACAGAUCGUACCAAACAUCCCUAAUAAAGGAACACAACCAUACGAAACCUGUCCAAAUGCCUUUGGUUGGGGCGACCGCGGGGAAACAAAAAACCCCCAUGUGGAAAGGGACCACCAAUCCUCCAUACAAGAGCCCCCGCUCUAAGAAACAGAACAUCUGACCUCUAAGAUCCGGCAAAGCCGAUCAACGAACCGAGUUACCCUAGGGAUAACAGCGCAAUCCCCUUAUAGAGCCCAUAUCGACAAGGGGGUUUACGACCUCGAUGUUGGAUCAGGAUAUCCUAAUGGUGCAGCCGCUAUUAAGGGUUCGUUUGUUCAACGAUUAAAAUCCUACGUGAUCUGAGUUCAGACCGGAGUAAUCCAGGUCGGUUUCUAUCUAUGACGCAAUCCUUUUUCAGUACGAAAGGACCAAAAAGAAGAGGCCCAUGUCACAGACACGCCUCACCCCAACUCGCUGCCCCCAACUCAAGCGAACAAAGGAGAGCUAAACCAUGUUAAAGAACAUAACAU
RNAcentral lists this ribosomal RNA (1678 nucleotides) under Canthidermis maculata (spotted oceanic triggerfish). Its description in RNAcentral is "16S rRNA". The stretch from base 152 to 1567 matches the Rfam family "Bacterial large subunit ribosomal RNA". The record is from RNAcentral. Lineage: Eukaryota; Metazoa; Chordata; Actinopteri; Tetraodontiformes; Balistidae.